RNAcentral lists this ribosomal RNA (184 nucleotides) under uncultured bacterium. RNAcentral's name for it is "partial 16S ribosomal RNA". It matches the Rfam family "Bacterial small subunit ribosomal RNA", at positions 8 to 172 of the family's 1533-position model. The record is from RNAcentral.
AGAGUUUGAUCCUGGCUCAGGACGAACGCUGGCGGCGUGCCUAAUACAUGCAAGUCGAGCGAGCGGAACUAACAGAUUUACUUCGGUAAUGACGUUAGGAAAGCGAGCGGCGAAUGGGUGAGUAACACGUGGGGAACCUGCCCCAUAGUCUGGGAUACCACUUGGAAACAGGUGCUAAUACCGG